RNAcentral lists this ribosomal RNA (469 nucleotides) under uncultured bacterium. RNAcentral's name for it is "partial 16S ribosomal RNA". It matches the Rfam family "Bacterial small subunit ribosomal RNA", at positions 28 to 507 of the family's 1533-position model. The record is from RNAcentral.
GACGAACGCUGGCGGCGUGCUUAACACAUGCAAGUCGAACGGAAAGGCCCUGCUUGCAGGGUGCUCGAGUGGCGAACGGGUGAGUAACACGUGGGUGAUCUGCCCCUUACUUUGGGAUAAGCCUGGGAAACUGGGUCUAAUACUGGAUAGGACCAUGCUGUAGGUGGUGGGGUGGAAAGAUUAGUUUCGGUAAGGGAUGAGCUCGCGGCCUAUCAGCUUGUUGGUGGGGUAAUGGCCUACCAAGGCGUCGACGGGUAGCCGGCCUGAGAGGGUGGGCGGCCACAUUGGGACUGCGAUACGGCCCAGCCGCCUACGGGAGGCAGCAGUGGGGAAUAUUGCGCAAUGGGCGCACGGCUGAUGCAGCGACGCCGCGUGGGGGGUGACGGCCUUCGGGUUGUAAACUCCUUGCGGCCAUGACGAAGCCCUUGUGGUGACAGUAGUGGUAGAAGAAGCACCGGCUAACUACGUG